RNAcentral lists this transfer RNA (73 nucleotides) under Gekko gecko (tokay). RNAcentral's name for it is "tRNA-Gln". It matches the Rfam family "tRNA". Rfam says of the family: Transfer RNA (tRNA) molecules are approximately 80 nucleotides in length. Their secondary structure includes four short double-helical elements and three loops (D, anti-codon, and T loops). Lineage: Eukaryota; Metazoa; Chordata; Lepidosauria; Squamata; Gekkonidae. The record is from RNAcentral.
UAGAAAUUAGUAUAAGUUGGCAGUACAUAAGGUUUUGGACCUUAAGGUUUGGGUUCGUGACCCAAUUUUCUAG